AGACGGUUGGCCGAGGUCUAAGGCGCCAGAUUUAGGCUCUGGUCCGAAAGGGCGUGGGUUCAAAUCCCACAAUGUUUA
Molecule: transfer RNA, 78 nt
Filed under: Ipomoea nil (Japanese morning glory)
Lineage: Eukaryota; Viridiplantae; Streptophyta; Magnoliopsida; Solanales; Convolvulaceae
Rfam family: tRNA
About the family: Transfer RNA (tRNA) molecules are approximately 80 nucleotides in length. Their secondary structure includes four short double-helical elements and three loops (D, anti-codon, and T loops).
Source: Rfam by way of RNAcentral